UACAGAGGUCUCAAGCGUUGUUCGGAUUCAUUGGGCGUAAAGGGUGCGUAGGUGGCGCCGUAAGUCAGGUGUGAAAUUUCGGAGCUUAACUCCGAAACUGCAUUUGAUACUGCGGUGCUUGAGGACUGGAGAGGAGACUGGAAUUCACGGUGUAGCAGUGAAAUGCGUAGAUAUCGUGAGGAAGACCAGUGGCGAAGGCGGGUCUCUGGACAGUUCCUGACGCUGAGGAGCGAAAGCGUGGGGAGCGAACAGG
RNAcentral lists this ribosomal RNA (253 nucleotides) under uncultured bacterium. RNAcentral describes it as "partial 16S ribosomal RNA". It matches the Rfam family "Bacterial small subunit ribosomal RNA", at positions 524 to 776 of the family's 1533-position model. The record is from RNAcentral.